RNAcentral lists this ribosomal RNA (494 nucleotides) under uncultured bacterium. RNAcentral describes it as "bacterial SSU rRNA". It matches the Rfam family "Bacterial small subunit ribosomal RNA", at positions 903 to 1397 of the family's 1533-position model. The record is from RNAcentral.
AAAGGAAUAGACGGGGGCCCGCACAAGCAGUGGAGCAUGUGGUUUAAUUCGACGAUACGCGAAGAACCUUACCAGGGUUUGACAUUGAUAUGGCGUAUACAGAGAUGUAUAUUCUCUUCGGAGCAUAUUGACAGGUGCUGCAUGGCUGUCGUCAGCUCGUGCCGUGAGGUGUUGGGUUAAGUCCCGCAACGAGCGCAACCCUUAUUCUCAGUUGCCAUCAGGUAAUGCUGGGCACUCUGUGGAGACUGCCGUCAUAAGGCGGAGGAAGGUGGGGAUGACGUCAAGUCAGCAUGGCCCUUACGUCCUGGGCUACACACGUGCUACAAUGGCCGGUACAAAGGGCAGCGAAGCCGCGAGGCGGAGCGAAUCCCAUAAAGCCGGUCUCAGUUCGGAUUGCAGGCUGCAACUCGCCUGCAUGAAGUCGGAAUUGCUAGUAACCGCAGAUCAGCUACGCUGCGGUGAAUACGUUCCCGGGCCUUGUACACACCGCCCGU